This 468-nucleotide ribosomal RNA is filed under the name uncultured bacterium. RNAcentral describes it as "partial 16S ribosomal RNA". It matches the Rfam family "Bacterial small subunit ribosomal RNA", at positions 28 to 507 of the family's 1533-position model. The record is from RNAcentral.
GACGAACGCUGGCGGCGUGCUUAACACAUGCAAGUCGAACGGAAAGGCCCUGCUUUUGUGGGGUGCUCGAGUGGCGAACGGGUGAGUAACACGUGAGUAACCUGCCCUUGACUUUGGGAUAACUUCAGGAAGCUGGGGCUAAUACCGGAUAGGAGCUCCUGCUGCAUGGUGGGGGUUGGAAAGUUUCGGCGGUUGGGGAUGGACUCGCGGCUUAUCAGCUUGUUGGUGGGGUAGUGGCUUACCAAGGCUUUGACGGGUAGCCGGCCUGAGAGGGUGACCGGCCACAUUGGGACUGAGAUACGGCCCAGACUCCUACGGGAGGCAGCAGUGGGGAAUAUUGCACAAUGGGCGGAAGCCUGAUGCAGCAACGCCGCGUGCGGGAUGACGGCCUUCGGGUUGUAAACCGCUUUCGCCUGUGACGAAGCGUGAGUGACGGCAAUGGGUAAAGAAGCACCGGCUAACUACGUG